UCGUGCCGAGCGGUUCCGGCGCUUCAGCAAGGGUUUCCAUGUCCUUGGGAGACCGUGACCCAGUAAUCCUCCCAACAGAGAGGGGGUUUCCAGCAAACCACCGUGACAGCUCCUCCAGAGUUCAAAUACUGAAGACUUAUGCGUGCCACAGACCUAAAUCUCAAGGUGACUAGUCUUCAGAAGACCAGGCUCUACUUCUACUUCUCCAGGCAUCAAAGGGAAAAAAAGAAUGUUUCUACGCAACCCAUUCAGAACAAAGAAUAUGUACACAAUGAAACAGAUAUAAAACCAAAAUCCAAGAACCCUAAAAGAAGCUAAAAUUCUGUAAUUACGUAGGCAAACGCUUAUUUCCCGCUGUUUUAGAUUUUGAUGCUGGUGGUAGGGGAGGAGUUACUGCAGCAGCAGAAGAAAAAGCAUGGUCAUUAAUAGCACAAACUUAAUUCCUUGCUAGUUGGGCAACCCUGGGCAAGUAACCUUUUAGAGCCUGUUUCCUGAAGUGUAAAUUAUUACAAAUAACACCACUUCCUUUUUGAAAAGAAAAGAAGAGACAAGACAAGACAAGACAAGACAGGAUCUAUGUUGCCCCAGGCUGGCCUCGAACUACUGGGCUCAAGCAAUCCUCCUGCCUCAGCCUCCUGAGUACCUGGGACUACAAGCACAAGCCAUCCUGCCCAACACCAAAGGUUGCUGUGAGUCUUAGACGAUACACAAAACUACAUAUCACAACGCCUGGCACUUGGCAGGUUAUUAUUAGAAAAAUGUCUAGAAAGUACAAAAAUCACUUUUUGCUUCAAAGUAACAGGUAUUGAUCCAUCCCAUUGUAAAGUCAGAAUUUCCUCUAAAUGCUACUUCAGCUCAUUUUUCCUAGCUUUCUCCCUAUUAUGGCAGCCCACUUCACACUGCAUGUCACCUGUACCUCUGCUAGUACAUCACUACUUCCGCUAUAGAGUACAGUAGAAGCUUCUACUGUAACUUGCAGCAUCUCCACCAGUCUGAAAAGUAAGCCCACUGAACAAAGAUAGUAAUUCACGUUUAAUACGUGUUUUCAAAAGACAAUGACCACCAGUUUCCACAAUGGAAAAGACCAACAUCUACCAUCUAAGUUUUUCCUGGCAGAUCAUUCAACCAAGCACUUCACUGAAAGUAAGACUUCUCAGGUAUCAAAAGAACAAUUUAUCCACCUUUACCUAUAGGAAUUACUGAUGCCUAUUUCCUAUGGUUGUCUUGCUAAACUGUCUAAAACUGCUUCACCAAUUGUUUGCUAAGCACUGUAUUUAAAACAAGCAUUUAAAUAAAAUGGCUUCUUUGAUUUAUUAAAUU
Molecule: long non-coding RNA, 1320 nt
Organism: Symphalangus syndactylus (siamang)
Lineage: Eukaryota; Metazoa; Chordata; Mammalia; Primates; Hylobatidae
Source: RefSeq, a predicted model, not a curated record